This 383-nucleotide transfer-messenger RNA is filed under the name Chloroflexota bacterium. Its description in RNAcentral is "Chloroflexi bacterium (groundwater metagenome) transfer-messenger RNA". It matches the Rfam family "transfer-messenger RNA". Rfam says of the family: Bacterial tmRNA, also known as 10Sa RNA or SsrA, is named for its dual tRNA and mRNA-like properties. Its role is to liberate the mRNA from a stalled ribosome. To accomplish this part of the tmRNA is used as a reading frame that ends in a translation stop signal. RNAcentral also lists the same sequence under 1 other name. The record is from RNAcentral. Lineage: Bacteria; Bacillati; Chloroflexota.
GGGGGUGACAUGGUUUCGACGGGGGAAGCUGGUCACAGACUGCAAGCCGAGGCGCUCUCCCCUCGUUAAUCCAGAGCAAAACUAUAAGUGCCAAAAGUGCACCUCGUCUCGCAAUGGCUGCAUAACAGCCUAGCAGACAAACUGAUAGCCUGAGGGCUAUCCGUCUGCCCUAACCGUAUCUGUUCGGGUGGCAAGCAGGCGUAACAAAGAACAGAGUGCGCUGCCCUCACACCGAUACCGGGCGGCAAAGAUCAAAUCGGUUAGCGUUUGGCGAACCUCCGUCUGCUUGGGUUGCCAUCCGCGAAAUUGAGGAGCGGACUAAGCUUGUAGACGUUUGUGGUCGAAUCUUUCGGACGGCGGUUCAAUUCCACCCACCUCCACCU